This is a long non-coding RNA of Mustela lutreola (European mink), 1896 nucleotides long. RefSeq lists it as uncharacterized. NCBI's taxonomy places the organism in Eukaryota, Metazoa, Chordata, Mammalia, Carnivora, Mustelidae. The record is from RefSeq and is a predicted model, not a curated record. The transcript has 2 exons.
UGUUUUUUUUUUUUUUAAUCUAAUAAUACUAUUGAGGGAAAUCGGUUCAACAUUUGUUGUUUAGUGAGUUGCCUUUGUUUCUUUUAGGCCCCAGAGCAGAAAGCCUGGCAUUCUGAGUUUCUUCCCCCAGAAAGAGAAGGCUGUGCUACCACCCCGCCCUCACCCCAGAGUAAUCAGUGGCUCCCCAGGCCCCACCGGCAUCUGGGACUCAUGACAUUCAGAACUGGAUCCCACAACUAAACUGAAGUUUUCUCCAUCUCCAAGACUGUAUUCCCAGCUUCACCAUGGUCUCUUCCUUCUAACCACCACCAGCAGCAAAUAGGAAAAGUGGAGGCCCAGAGAGGUCAAGCUAACAUCCCCGGAGGUCACAGAACAUCAGUUGCAGAAUUAGAACUUAGGAGUCCCUGGUGCCCCUUGGUGGAGUUGCAGCCAGAGCUCCCCCUCUUGUCCUGGAGACCCCCCUUGGGGUGUGAGUAAGCUGGCCCUGAGGACCUGAAGCCCUGGUGUCAGUGAAGAAGCUGGGACCAGGAAUCCCCUCUGGGCCCACCCUGCCUGGGUGGACAAGCUGGAAGGGGAUCCUCCGUGUACAGGGAGGUGGCAGCUGCCGGUGGAUUGGGGGGAGAGAUAUUUUUAGAGGUGGCUGGAAAGCAGGCAUCCUGGCACACCCCCAGCUGGCGGGUGCUUCGCUCCAAUGCGGGGCAGUGGGGGGGGGGGGGUGCGCAGCUCGGGGAGCCCAGGGGACUGGUGGGUGGCGGGGACCAAGGGGGCACAGAUCCUUCGCUUUGCCUGAGUCAGGGACAGAGGGAUAUCCCGGUACCUCGUUCCUGGGGUAGGAGAAAGGAGGAAGGCUCAUUUCUCCGCUCCAGUGACUCCCCCACUGACACCCGUGAAGGAGCGCCCUCAAACUCCACACAGCCCCCACCCCACACUGGGACCCCAGCCCUCCCCUACCUCGGGGAGCCCAGGACUCACGUGGGGAGCGGCGGCGGCAGAGGUCUGUCCCGGCUUAGUUUGGAGUGUAAAGUGAGGAGAUGGGCUAGCUGAGGUAUUUGGGCGCAGGAUGGGGCAAGGGGUGCUUACGGGAAUUGGAGGGGACGCGGUGUCUUAUCCACCCCCGGAUUUCUAGGCUCCGGCUCACGAGUCCCUCCAGUUCCGAGGGGCCGUGGAUGAUGUGCGUCUGGGCCGUCCCCUCCACCUGCCCCCCAUCCCCCCGGGCCGCCGCCGCGUCCCCUUUAAAUGCCGGGGAGCCGGAGCCCGAGCCGCGGCCGGCGCUGCGGCUGCCGCAGCACCCGGGCCCACCGCAGUCCCCCCACGUCACAAGCGACUGUCCAAUCACAGCGGCGCCGGCUCACAUCAAAGGGGCGGGCCGCCAGCGGGACACGCCUCCAGGCCGCCCCGCAGGCAACCCGAGCGCUAGCGAAGGUGGGGUUGCGCGCAGGGAGAGAGGGGAGGAGAGGGGAGAUGGAGCGCAUCCCUCCGGAGGAGCGUGGGUGGGGGGCACCCUUGCUGGAGCGGCUGCGGGGCUCUGCGUGAGUCCCCGCCCACACACCCAGAAGUGUCAGGGCUGUGCCUUCAGGGCGCCGAGCCCUGAAAUUUGCAGAAAUGCACUCCUACCGCCAGCCCCCAUUCCCUUCUUCGCUCCUAAGCCAAGCGGUAGGCACCGUUGGACCCAGACCAGGGAAAGCAGUGCCUCCCCCCACGUACGCCUGGCUCGGCCCUCCGCGCGGAGUCGCGGCACCUCAUCUCUUGGGACCCUUCCUCGCUUACGGGUUACAGGGGAUCGCCGGGGAAGGGGCCCUUCCACACCCCACCCCGUAAACACUGAUUUAAGGACCCAACUGUUUGCCCUUUGUAAGUGGUGUUUUAAAUAAACCCACUUUCUCUUCUGCUUCGUAA